UUGGCUGCUGCGUUGGCCGCGGAGACAUCCUCUGCUGGAGUGUGGAGAUUGGUGUCGCUUCCUCCGUUGAGAGGAGUUUGCAUGUUGUUUGCGUCGUAAGUUGACAUGUGUGGUUGAGCGUGUUGUGGCUGAGAGUUAGAUUGAUCCGCACCCCCCUCCUUCUAGUGCCAAACUGUGGGAACCAAAAUUCGCACUGUCGAUUUCCAUUUAAAUUAGGAAAGUAGGAGAACCCUAGUUUCCCAGAGGUCUUGGAUAUCUGCUAAUACCACACGCCAAGCAAUCAGAACACGAAGCAAGAAUAGUAAUAAAAUAAGAAAUCGUAAAAGAGAGCAAGAUAGUUCUUAUUCCGAAUCUGCGUUUGAGCGUUUACAACAAGGGAAAAGCCUGGGCUACGAGAGAUGUCGGCGAGAUUCCUAGUUCUAAAACCCUAAGACGGCA
RNAcentral lists this long non-coding RNA (438 nucleotides) under Brassica napus (rape). RNAcentral describes it as "long non-coding RNA (BNAP_LNC015643)". The record is from RNAcentral. Lineage: Eukaryota; Viridiplantae; Streptophyta; Magnoliopsida; Brassicales; Brassicaceae.